Molecule: transfer RNA, 75 nt
Filed under: Nonlabens ulvanivorans
Lineage: Bacteria; Pseudomonadati; Bacteroidota; Flavobacteriia; Flavobacteriales; Flavobacteriaceae
Description: tRNA-Asp
Rfam family: tRNA
About the family: Transfer RNA (tRNA) molecules are approximately 80 nucleotides in length. Their secondary structure includes four short double-helical elements and three loops (D, anti-codon, and T loops).
Source: RNAcentral
GGUCUGGUAGUUCAGCUGGUUAGAAUACAUGCCUGUCACGCAUGGGGGUCGCGGGUUCGAAUCCCGUCCAGACCG